Molecule: transfer RNA, 67 nt
Filed under: Paralvinella hessleri
Lineage: Eukaryota; Metazoa; Annelida; Polychaeta; Terebellida; Alvinellidae
Description: tRNA-Ser
Rfam family: tRNA
About the family: Transfer RNA (tRNA) molecules are approximately 80 nucleotides in length.
Source: RNAcentral
GACAAGAUGUUUCGGAAACACAAGAUCUUGAAAAUCUUUAAAAGAGGUUCGACCCCUCUCCUUGUCU